RNAcentral lists this ribosomal RNA (932 nucleotides) under Escherichia coli. RNAcentral's name for it is "partial 23S ribosomal RNA". It matches the Rfam family "Bacterial large subunit ribosomal RNA", at positions 1917 to 2843 of the family's 2925-position model. The record is from RNAcentral. Lineage: Bacteria; Pseudomonadati; Pseudomonadota; Gammaproteobacteria; Enterobacterales; Enterobacteriaceae.
GCCCCGGUAAACGGCGGCCGUAACUAUAACGGUCCUAAGGUAGCGAAAUUCCUUGUCGGGUAAGUUCCGACCUGCACGAAUGGCGUAAUGAUGGCCAGGCUGUCUCCACCCGAGACUCAGUGAAAUUGAACUCGCUGUGAAGAUGCAGUGUACCCGCGGCAAGACGGAAAGACCCCGUGAACCUUUACUAUAGCUUGACACUGAACAUUGAGCCUUGAUGUGUAGGAUAGGUGGGAGGCUUUGAAGUGUGGACGCCAGUCUGCAUGGAGCCGACCUUGAAAUACCACCCUUUAAUGUUUGAUGUUCUAACGUUGGCCCCUAAUCGGGGUUGCGGACAGUGUCUGGUGGGUAGUUUGACUGGGGCGGUCUCCUCCUAAAGAGUAACGGAGGAGCACGAAGGUUGGCUAAUCCUGGUCGGACAUCAGGAGGUUAGUGCAAUGGCAUAAGCCAGCUUGACUGCGAGCGUGACGGCGCGAGCAGGUGCGAAAGCAGGUCAUAGUGAUCCGGUGGUUCUGAAUGGAAGGGCCAUCGCUCAACGGAUAAAAGGUACUCCGGGGAUAACAGGCUGAUACCGCCCAAGAGUUCAUAUCGACGGCGGUGUUUGGCACCUCGAUGUCGGCUCAUCACAUCCUGGGGCUGAAGUAGGUCCCAAGGGUAUGGCUGUUCGCCAUUUAAAGUGGUACGCGAGCUGGGUUUAGAACGUCGUGAGACAGUUCGGUCCCUAUCUGCCGUGGGCGCUGGAGAACUGAGGGGGGCUGCUCCUAGUACGAGAGGACCGGAGUGGACGCAUCACUGGUGUUCGGGUUGUCAUGCCAAUGGCACUGCCCGGUAGCUAAAUGCGGAAGAGAUAAGUGCUGAAAGCAUCUAAGCACGAAACUUGCCCCGAGAUGAGUUCUCCCUGAGACUUAGAGUCUCCUGAAGGAACGUUGAAG